UACGGAGGUGGCAAGCGUUGUUCGGAAUUACUGGGCAUAAAGGGUGCGUAGGUGGUCUGAUUAGUCGCUUGUUAAAACUCCCGGCCUAACCGGGAAGAGGUGAGCGAAACGGUCAGACUAGAGAGAGUGAGAGGUUAGCAGAACUCAUGGUGUAGGGGUGAAAUCCGUUGAUAUCAUGGGGAAUACCAAAGGCGAAGGCAGCUAACUGGCACUUAUCUGACACUCCAGCACGAAAGCGUGGGUAGCGAACGGG
Molecule: ribosomal RNA, 253 nt
Filed under: uncultured bacterium
Lineage: Bacteria
Description: partial 16S ribosomal RNA
Rfam family: Bacterial small subunit ribosomal RNA
Source: RNAcentral